GAUGAACGCUGGCGGCGUGCCUAAUACAUGCAAGUCGAGCGAACAGACGAGGAGCUUGCUCCUCUGACGUUAGCGGCGGACGGGUGAGUAACACGUGGAUAACCUACCUAUAAGACUGGGAUAACUUCGGGAAACCGGAGCUAAUACCGGAUAAUAUAUUGAACCGCAUGGUUCAAUAGUGAAAGACGGCUUUGCUGUCACUUAUAGAUGGAUCCGCGCCGCAUUAGCUAGUUGGUAAGGUAACGGCUUACCAAGGCGACGAUGCGUAGCCGACCUGAGAGGGUGGUCGGCCACUCUGGAACUGAGACACGGUCCAGACUCCUACGGGAGGCAGCAGUAGGGAAUCUUCCGCGAUGGGCGAAAGCCUGACGGAGCAACGCCGCGUGAGUGAUGAAGGUCUUCGGAUCGUGAAACUCUGUUAUUAGGGAAGAACAAAUGUGUAAGUAACUAUGCACGUCUUGACGGUACCUAAUCAGAAAGCCACGGCUAACUACGUG
RNAcentral lists this ribosomal RNA (497 nucleotides) under uncultured bacterium. RNAcentral's name for it is "partial 16S ribosomal RNA". It matches the Rfam family "Bacterial small subunit ribosomal RNA", at positions 28 to 507 of the family's 1533-position model. The record is from RNAcentral.